RNAcentral lists this ribosomal RNA (301 nucleotides) under uncultured bacterium. Its description in RNAcentral is "partial 16S ribosomal RNA". It matches the Rfam family "Bacterial small subunit ribosomal RNA", at positions 509 to 807 of the family's 1533-position model. The record is from RNAcentral.
CAGUAGCCGCGGGAAUACGUAGGGUGCAAGCGUUAAUCGGAAUUACUGGGCGUAAAGCGUGCGCAGGCGGUUCUAUAAGACAGAUGAGAAAUCCCCGGGCUCAACCUGGGAACUGCAUUUGUGACUGUAGAGCUGGAGUGCGGCAGAGGGGGAUGGAAUUCCGCGUGUAGCAGUGAAAUGCGUAGAUAUGCGGAGGAACACCGAUGGCGAAGGCAAUCCCCUGGGCCUGCACUGACGCUCAUGCACGAAAGCGUGGGGAGCGAACAGGAUUAGAUACCCGCGUAGUCCCUGUCUCUUAUAC